Molecule: small nuclear RNA, 100 nt
Filed under: Chinchilla lanigera (long-tailed chinchilla)
Lineage: Eukaryota; Metazoa; Chordata; Mammalia; Rodentia; Chinchillidae
Source: RNAcentral
UUGCUUCCGCAGUACAUAUACUAAAAUUGGAACAAUACAGAGAUUAGCGUAGCCCUUGCGCAAGGCUAUCACGCAAAUUCGUGAGGUGUUCCAUAUUUAA